AGGACAGAAAAACUAUAUGCUAACGUUGAGAAGUGCUCCUUUUGCACAAACAAGGUUGUUUUUCUUGGCUAUGUCGUUUCAGGACAGGGAAUUGAAGUGGAUGAAUCUAAGGUGGAAGCAAUCAAGAAUUGGCCAACUCCAAUGAAUGUAAGCCAGGUGAGAAGUUUUCAUGGCCUUGCUGGUUUCUACAGGAGGUUUGUGAAAGAUUUUAGUACAAUUGCUGCACCUUUGAAUGAAUUGACAAAGAAAGGAAUUCCCUUUAAAUGGGGUGCACCACAAGAAGAAGCAUUUCUUGAUCUUAAGAAACAAUUAACUAAAGCACCUUUGCUGAUUCUACCUGAUUUCACUAAAACUUUUGAGAUAGAAUGUAAUGCUAGUGGAAUAGGUAUUGGAGGUGUAUUAAUGCAAUAA
Molecule: ribosomal RNA, 411 nt
Filed under: Triticum aestivum (bread wheat)
Lineage: Eukaryota; Viridiplantae; Streptophyta; Magnoliopsida; Poales; Poaceae
Description: partial small subunit ribosomal RNA
Source: RNAcentral